AUUGAACGCUGGCGGAAUGCUUUACACAUGCAAGUCGAACGGCAGCACGGACUUCGGUCUGGUGGCGAGUGGCGAACGGGUGAGUAAUACAUCGGAACGUGCCCAAUCGUGGGGGAUAACGUAGCGAAAGCUACGCUAAUACCGCAUACGAUCUAAGGAUGAAAGCGGGGGAUCGCAAGACCUCGCGCGAAUGGAGCGGCCGAUGGCAGAUUAGGUAGUUGGUAGGGUAAAGGCCUACCAAGCCGACGAUCUGUAGCUGGUCUGAGAGGAUGAUCAGCCACACUGGGAAUGAGACACGGCCCAGACUCCUACGGGAGGCGGCAGUGGGGAAUUUUGGACAAUGGACGCAAGUCUGAUCCAGCCAUUCCGCGUGCAGGAUGAAGGCCCUCGGGUUGUAAACUGCUUUUGUACAGAACGAAAAGGCUCUGGUUAAUACCUGGGGCUCAUGACGGUACUGUAAGAAUAAGCACCGGCUAACUACGUGCCAGCCGCCGCAGUAA
Molecule: ribosomal RNA, 500 nt
Filed under: uncultured bacterium
Lineage: Bacteria
Description: partial 16S ribosomal RNA
Rfam family: Bacterial small subunit ribosomal RNA
Source: RNAcentral